Molecule: non-coding RNA, 537 nt
Organism: Melanotaenia boesemani (Boeseman's rainbowfish)
Lineage: Eukaryota; Metazoa; Chordata; Actinopteri; Atheriniformes; Melanotaeniidae
Source: the annotation of a RefSeq genome assembly
CUGAACACACCAGCAGCACAAUGAUGAUGUCACUGACUCUACUGCUGACCACCCUGGGGCUCCUUGUUCAGGGUUCAUCAGGACAAAUCAGUCUGGUUCAGACUCCUGGAGCUCAGUCUGUUACUCCAGGACAGACUGUCUCCAUUAAAUGUAAAGUUAGUCCAAGUCCAAGUUAUUGCUUCAACUGGUACCUUCAGAAGCCAGGAGAAUCUCCCAAACUUCUUAUUUCUUGUACUAACAGUCGUGAAUCUGGAGUUUCUGAUCGUUUCAGUGGAACAAGCUCUGGGAGCGACUUCACUCUGACCAUCAGCAGAGUUCAGGCUGAAGAUGCUGCAGAUUAUUACUGUCAGACUGGACACGUUAUCAGUAGCCAAGCUGUGUUCACACAGUGGAAAACACUCGUACAAAAACCUCCCUCAGCCAGUCAGACUGAACAGAAACUGAUGUGGUUCAUUGAAGCCACACAAUAAACCUUAUACAGCUUUAAACAGUGUUAAUAUAAACAGCUCAGUACAGAACACUACAGUACAGUCACAU